Molecule: long non-coding RNA, 4579 nt
Organism: Nerophis ophidion (straightnose pipefish)
Lineage: Eukaryota; Metazoa; Chordata; Actinopteri; Syngnathiformes; Syngnathidae
Exons: 11
Source: RefSeq, a predicted model, not a curated record
GGAUGUAAACAUCUUUUUAACUGCGAGUCUGUGCCUACUGGGACACUUCUAAUUCCCUAGUAGGUGGGGCACUUCUAAUCCCCUAGACUAACGGCAACUCUAUUUUUCUCUACAGCAGGAUGUGCUCCAUUCACCUGCUGGAGAGUACUGAGCCGUUUUGAGCAGGAGGAGAAUUUAUAGGAGGUCUGCAGUGGGCGGGGCUCACGCUCAACACUGCAGUGUCGAUGUUUGACUCUCCAAAUAAGAUCCUAACAUUGUGAUGGGUCUACUCGACGUUCAUCACAACGUGGACUCGCCAAAUUAGAUCCUAACAUUGUGAUGGGUCUACUCGACGUUCAUCACAACGUGGACAACCACACAGCAGGAUGUGCUCCAUUCACCUGCUGGAGAGUACUGAGCCGUUUUGAGCAGGAGGAGAAUUUAUAGGAGGUCUGCAGUGGGCGGGGCUCACGCUCAACACUGCAGUGUCGAUGUUUGACUCUCCAAAUAAGAUCCUAACAUUGUGAUGGGUCUACUCGACGUUCAUCACAACGUGGACUCGCCAAAUUAGAUCCUAACAUUGUGAUGGGUCUACUCGACGUUCAUCACAACGUGGACAACCACACAGCAGGAUGUGCUCCAUUCACCUGCUGGAGAGUACUGAGCCGUUUUGAGCAGGAGGAGAAUUUAUAGGAGGUCUGCAGUGGGCGGGGCUCACGCUCAACACUGCAGUGUCGAUGUUUGACUCUCCAAAUAAGAUCCUAACAUUGUGAUGGGUCUACUCGACGUUCAUCACAACGUGGACUCGCCAAAUUAGAUCCUAACAUUGUGAUGGGUCUACUCGACGUUCAUCACAACGUGGACAACCACACAGCAGGAUGUGCUCCAUUCACCUGCUGGAGAGUACUGAGCCGUUUUGAGCAGGAGGAGAAUUUAUAGGAGGUCUGCAGUGGGCGGGGCUCACGCUCAACACUGCAGUGUCGAUGUUUGACUCUCCAAAUAAGAUCCUAACAUUGUGAUGGGUCUACUCGACGUUCAUCACAACGUGGACUCGCCAAAUUAGAUCCUAACAUUGUGAUGGGUCUACUCGACGUUCAUCACAACGUGGACAACCACACAGCAGGAUGUGCUCCAUUCACCUGCUGGAGAGUACUGAGCCGUUUUGAGCAGGAGGAGAAUUUAUAGGAGGUCUGCAGUGGGCGGGGCUCACGCUCAACACUGCAGUGUCGAUGUUUGACUCUCCAAAUAAGAUCCUAACAUUGUGAUGGGUCUACUCGACGUUCAUCACAACGUGGACUCGCCAAAUUAGAUCCUAACAUUGUGAUGGGUCUACUCGACGUUCAUCACAACGUGGACAACCACACAGCAGGAUGUGCUCCAUUCACCUGCUGGAGAGUACUGAGCCGUUUUGAGCAGGAGGAGAAUUUAUAGGAGGUCUGCAGUGGGCGGGGCUCACGCUCAACACUGCAGUGUCGAUGUUUGACUCUCCAAAUAAGAUCCUAACAUUGUGAUGGGUCUACUCGACGUUCAUCACAACGUGGACUCGCCAAAUUAGAUCCUAACAUUGUGAUGGGUCUACUCGACGUUCAUCACAACGUGGACAACCACACAGCAGGAUGUGCUCCAUUCACCUGCUGGAGAGUACUGAGCCGUUUUGAGCAGGAGGAGAAUUUAUAGGAGGUCUGCAGUGGGCGGGGCUCACGCUCAACACUGCAGUGUCGAUGUUUGACUCUCCAAAUAAGAUCCUAACAUUGUGAUGGGUCUACUCGACGUUCAUCACAACGUGGACUCGCCAAAUUAGAUCCUAACAUUGUGAUGGGUCUACUCGACGUUCAUCACAACGUGGACAACCACACAGCAGGAUGUGCUCCAUUCACCUGCUGGAGAGUACUGAGCCGUUUUGAGCAGGAGGAGAAUUUAUAGGAGGUCUGCAGUGGGCGGGGCUCACGCUCAACACUGCAGUGUCGAUGUUUGACUCUCCAAAUAAGAUCCUAACAUUGUGAUGGGUCUACUCGACGUUCAUCACAACGUGGACUCGCCAAAUUAGAUCCUAACAUUGUGAUGGGUCUACUCGACGUUCAUCACAACGUGGACAACCACACAGCAGGAUGUGCUCCAUUCACCUGCUGGAGAGUACUGAGCCGUUUUGAGCAGGAGGAGAAUUUAUAGGAGGUCUGCAGUGGGCGGGGCUCACGCUCAACACUGCAGUGUCGAUGUUUGACUCUCCAAAUAAGAUCCUAACAUUGUGAUGGGUCUACUCGACGUUCAUCACAACGUGGACUCGCCAAAUUAGAUCCUAACAUUGUGAUGGGUCUACUCGACGUUCAUCACAACGUGGACAACCACACAGGUUUCGCUCCCACAGUCGGAAACUAUGGGCCUGCCCGGGGGUAUGUCAUGGGGCUGGCUCCAUUUGUGGGGUUCCUUGUGGAUUUUGGGGAGUAAAUAAAACCUACGAGGACGGGGAUCCGAUUCGCCCAGGAGGUAAGUAAACUGUUUAUGAUUGAUGAAUCUUUUAUUUAAUAAAUUUUUAAUGAUUUUUUCCACCAUAGGGAUUGUGUCAAGAUAAAUGGGUGCGGCCAACGGGGAGUAGUAGGUGGUGUCGUUCAGUUGUCUGGUGCCCUCCCAGACAUACUGAGACCUGUCAAAGAUGACCACAGCGCUUCCUUUGUCUGCCGGUUUGAUAACAAUGUUAUUGUUAUUUUUCAGACUCUGAAGGGCCUCAGUUUCGUCACGCGUGAGGUUGGGCGUAAUGGCGAGGGCGCAACCCGAUAGGAGCGAUGGAUGCUCGUCCGCUAGGACCAGUGUGUGGACCUCUGGAGGUAGCAGACCGGGUGAGGGCUCCCACUCGGACCGGGCGGUGAAAGGUCGCGGACCGAGGGACCCUUGCUUUUCAUAGAACACCGCGAGUUUGACACCCCUGUGGUAUUCUUGUAAGUCAAACUUCAUUUGGUGGUGCCACUCAGGACUAAGGUGGGUGGAUGGGACGAACGUGAGGCCUUUAUUGAGGAGGGAGCGCUGUGAGGAGGUAAGUGUGAAAUGUUUUGCCAAAUUUACAAUGUUUUUGUUUGUGUUUGUGGUGGUGUUGUUUGUGCUUGUGUCACCCCCCCGACAGGUCGGGUUUUUGGGGAUGCCAUGUUUAAAUGGUGAAGCCAGUGCUUCAGCAUGUUUUUGGCCGUUUCCUCGGUCCAGUGAAGGUUGUCCCUCCCCGUAGCAAACUUCUCACUGGUGAGUGCCGGAAUGAAAUUAUAGUUUUUUUGAAUAUAAGUAUUAAUUUUGUGGAGGUUAUCUUUAUGUUCCUGGGGCAGGGCUUCUGAGAAGUUAAUGAUGGGGAUGGAAAUGUCGGCGUUCGGGAACACCGUUUUGGCCACCUUUAGGGCCCUUUGGAUUUGUUUAAAGGUGGUGGCCUUCGGGUUUUGUUCCUUGUUAUUGAGGCCGAACGAUAACACCACCAUUUCCACUUCGACACUAAUCUUUGUUUUUUCUAGGAUGGCCUCUGCGUGGCGGAAGUUGGCACCUGGAUAGCUGUCCAUCUGAAGGUCCUGGAGACGGACAGGUGGAAGACGACUAAUAUUGGAGUCCCCAAUCACCAGGACCUUCUUAUCCACAGACAGGUGCCAAUCAACCAACUUGCGCGUUGUACUGAUGUGUCUAGUGGGGCCCCUGCGCGGACUGAUAGGUGUGGCUAAUUGUGUCGUGUCUGUAUCCUCUGUCGGCUGAGAGGCCGAAGCGACCGCUCUAGGCCCCUUCCGGAUUCCCGAAAAAAAUUGGGACCAGCUUGGACCCGCUUCGGGAACCGGCGUGCGUGGAGGAGGAGUGUCCACAAGGGGCACGUCCGGAAGAGGCGCGUCCGGGAGGGGCGCGUCCAGGAGGGAGGAAGUCGGCGAGGAUGGUCCCGGUAGGCCAGAACCUAGUUGAGACCAACUGGGGGGCGUGUCAGGGGGCAGCUGGGACCACCCUGGAGGCCCCUCAGGGGAUGACGCCGGCUGCUCAGGUGGCGGUGGCGCGUCCGAGACCGCAGGAGGGACCCUGACUUCGGUCUCGACCUGCGGAUGCGGCCUGGGUGGCGGGACCAGGGGAGCCUCGACAAUAGAGUUGUCGGGAGGACUGCUGCAUGGCUCCUGGGGUCGUGUCAUUCUCUGGGGCCUGGAUGGUGCCGCAGCCAGAGAAGAAGGCGACAAAACCGGGAAGGGGACCGGGGUGACCGGUCCCCUAGGCCCCGGAACCGGCUCCACCACAGGGGACCAGUCCCCGACCACAGGGUCGGUCAUGGUGGACGCCGUGGCUCGCACAGGAGCGUGCAGGGUUGGAACCGGCAGGGGCAGCGGCAGCGGCAGCGGCAGCGGCGGCUGCACUACCUCCAUCACCACUCGGGUGCUGGAAGGAUCCAAGCGGACUGGUGACCCCGUCUGCUGGGAUCGUGACGGACUACCCCCCUCGUCCACGCCACGAACGUCCACACAGAUGGAGAUCACCAGACCCUCAGCCAGCCGCAGUGUCUCGGUGGUCAACCUGCGUCCCAGGUGUGUCCUGGUCCAAGCUGAGGCCACCUGGAAUGGUUCCUUCCAAUUUUGCCCAAUAAAAGCACUCAAUUUGUUGA